GAUGAACGCUGGCGGCGUGCCUAAUACAUGCAAGUCGAGCGAACGGACGAGAAGCUUGCUUCUCUGAUGUUAGCGGCGGACGGGUGAGUAACACGUGGAUAACCUACCUAUAAGACUGGGAUAACUUCGGGAAACCGGAGCUAAUACCGGAUGAUAUUUUGAACCGCAUGGUUCAAAAGUGAAAGACGGUCUUGCUGUCACUUAUAGAUGGAUCCGCGCUGCAUUAGCUAGUUGGUAAGGUAACGGCUUACCAAGGCAACGAUGCAUAGCCGACCUGAGAGGGUGAUCGGCCACACUGGAACUGAGACACGGUCCAGACUCCUACGGGAGGCAGCAGUAGGGAAUCUUCCGCAAUGGGCGAAAGCCUGACGGAGCAACGCCGCGUGAGUGAUGAAGGUCUUCGGAUCGUAAAACUCUGUUAUUAGGGAAGAACAUAUGUGUAAAGUACUGUGCACAUCUUGACGGUACCCUAUCAGAAAGCCACGGCUAACUACGUGCCAGCAGCCGCGGUAUACGUNAGUGGCCAAGCGUUAUCCGGAUUAUUGGGCGUAAGCGCGCGUAGCGGUUUUUAAGUCUGAUGUGAAAGCCCACGGCUCAACGGUGGAGGGUCAUUGGAAACUGGAAAACUUGAGUGCAGAAGAGGAAAGUGGAAUUCCAUGUGUAGCGGUGAAAUGCGCAGAGAUAUGGAGGAACACCAGUGGCGAAGGCGACUUUCUGGUCUGUAACUGACGCUGAUGUGCGAAAGCGUGGGGAUCAAACAGGAUUAGAUACCCUGGUAGUCCACGCCGUAAACGAUGAGUGCUAAGUGUUAGGGGGUUUCCGCCCCUUAGUGCUGCAGCUAACGCAUUAAGCACUCCGCCUGGGGAGUACGACCGCAAGGUUGAAACUCAAAGGAAUUGACGGGGACCCGCACAAGCGGUGGAGCAUGUGGUUUAAUUCGAAGCAACGCGAAGAACCUUACCAAAUCUUGACAUCCUUUGACAACUCUAGAGAUAGAGCCUUCCCCUUCGGGGGGGACAAAGUGACAGGUGGUGCAUGGUUGUCGUCAGCUCGUGUCGUGAGAUGUUGGGUUAAGUCCCGCAACGAGCGCAACCCUUAAGCUUAGUUGCCAUCAUUAAGUUGGGCACUCUAAGUUGACUGCCGGUGACAAACCGGAGGAAGGUGGGGAUGACGUCAAAUCAUCAUGCCCCUUAUGAUUUGGGCUACACACGUGCUACAAUGGACAAUACAAAGGGCAGCGAAACCGCGAGGUCAAGCAAAUCCCAUAAAGUUGUUCUCAGUUCGGAUUGUAGUCUGCAACUCGACUACAUGAAGCUGGAAUCGCUAGUAAUCGUAGAUCAGCAUGCUACGGUGAAUACGUUCCCGGGUCU
RNAcentral lists this ribosomal RNA (1370 nucleotides) under uncultured bacterium. Its description in RNAcentral is "bacterial SSU rRNA". It matches the Rfam family "Bacterial small subunit ribosomal RNA", at positions 28 to 1381 of the family's 1533-position model. The record is from RNAcentral.